RNAcentral lists this unclassified non-coding RNA (344 nucleotides) under soil metagenome. Its description in RNAcentral is "partial contains 5.8S ribosomal RNA, internal transcribed spacer 2, and large subunit ribosomal RNA". The stretch from base 1 to 120 matches the Rfam family "5.8S ribosomal RNA", at positions 35 to 154 of the family's 154-position model. The record is from RNAcentral.
GAUGAAGAACGUAGCGAAAUGCGAUAAGUAAUGUGAAUUGCAGAGUUCAGUGAAUCAUCGAAUCUUUGAACGCACAUUGCGCCCGUCAGUAUUCUGACGGGCAUGCCUGUCCGAGCGUCAUUUCAACCCUCAAGCCCCCGGGCUUGGUGUUGGGGAUCGGCGUGCCCUCGCGGCGCGCCGUCCCCUAAAUCUAGUGGCGGUCUCGCUGUAGCUUCCUCUGCGUAGUAGCAACACUCGCACUGGAUCGCAGCGCGGCCACGCCGUUAAACCCCCCACUUCUGAAAGUUUGACCUCGGAUCAGGUAGGAAUACCCGCUGAACUUAAGCAUAUCAAUAAGCGGAGGA